GCCAGGUGUGGUGGUGCACUCGUGUGGUCCCAGCUACUGGGAAGGCAAAGGCAUUAGGAUUGCUUGAGCCCAGGAGUUGUGGGCUGUAGUGCACUAUGCUGACUGGGCGUCCACACUAGGUUUGGCACAUGGUGACCUCCUGGAAUAGGAACUACCAGGUUGCCUAAGGAGGGUGAACUGGCCUAGCUUAGAAACAGAGCAGCAAGUCAGAACCCCCUGCUGAUCAGUACUGGGAGGAAGCCUGUGAACAGCCACUGCACUCUAGCCUGGGCAAUAUAGAAAGACUUCAUCUCU
This 294-nucleotide signal recognition particle RNA is filed under the name Microcebus murinus (gray mouse lemur). RNAcentral describes it as "Metazoan signal recognition particle RNA (ENSMICG00000027452.2)". It matches the Rfam family "Metazoan signal recognition particle RNA". From Rfam's summary of the family: The signal recognition particle (SRP) is a universally conserved ribonucleoprotein. It is involved in the co-translational targeting of proteins to membranes. The eukaryotic SRP consists of a 300-nucleotide 7S RNA and six proteins: SRPs 72, 68, 54, 19, 14, and 9. Lineage: Eukaryota; Metazoa; Chordata; Mammalia; Primates; Cheirogaleidae. The record is from RNAcentral.